Molecule: ribosomal RNA, 461 nt
Filed under: uncultured bacterium
Lineage: Bacteria
Description: bacterial SSU rRNA
Rfam family: Bacterial small subunit ribosomal RNA
Source: RNAcentral
ACUCCUACGGGAGGCAGCAGUGGGGAAUAUUGGACAAUGGGCGAAAGACCUGAUCCAGCCAUGCCGCGUGUGUGAAGAAGGUCUUCGGAUUGUAAAGCACUUUAAGUUGGGAGGAAGGGUUGUAGAUUAAUACUCUGCAAUUUUGACGUUACCGACAGAAUAAGCACCGGCUAACUCUGUGCCAGCAGCCGCGGUAAUACAGAGGGUGCAAGCGUUAAUCGGAAUUACUGGGCGUAAAGCGCGCGUAGGUGGUUCGUUAAGUUGGAUGUGAAAUCCCCGGGGCUCAACCUGGGGAACUGCAUUCAAAACUGUCGAGCUAGAGUAUGGUAGAGGGUGGUGGAAUUUCCUGUGUAGCGGUGAAAUGCGUAGAUAUAGGAAGGAACACCAGUGGCGAAGGCGACCACCUGGACUGAUACUGACACUGAGGUGCGAAAGCGUGGGGAGCGAAACAGGAUUAGAUA